RNAcentral lists this long non-coding RNA (262 nucleotides) under Carica papaya (papaya). RNAcentral's name for it is "long non-coding RNA (CPAP_LNC011771)". Lineage: Eukaryota; Viridiplantae; Streptophyta; Magnoliopsida; Brassicales; Caricaceae. The record is from RNAcentral.
AUGAAGCUAAUGGAAUUGAUGUCAACCAGCAAGACCAUUCAUAUCCAACUGCAGGGAACCCACUUGUGGUUCUAAAUGAUGAUUCGACCGUCCUACCACCUCUCGAUGAGGAAUGGAUACCUCCCACCCCCACUGAUAAUGAGCAAAUUCCUCCACCCCCACCUGAUAAUGAGCAAAUUCCUCCACCACCGCCUGAUAAUGACCAAGUUCCUCCACCUCCGUCUGAUGAGCUUCAAGAACCUUCUUAUCCUCCGUUACCAUC